AUAUUGGACAAUGCGCGAAAGCCUGAUCCAGCCAUGCCGCGUGUGUGGAGAAGGUCUUCGGUUUGUAAAGCACUCUAAGUUGGGAGGAAGGGUUCUAGAUUAAUACUCUGCAAUUUUGACGUUACCGACAGAAUAAGCACCGGCUAACUUUGUGCCAGCAGCCGCGGUAAUACGAAGGGUGCAAGGGUUAAUCGGAAUUAGUGGGCGUAAAGCGCGCGUAGGUGGUUCGUUAAGUUGGAUGUGAAAGCCCCGGGCUCAACCUGGGAACUGCAUCAAAAACUGGCGAGCUAGAGUACGGUAGAGGGUGGUGGAAUUUCCUGUGUAGCGGUGAAAUGCGUAGAUAUAGGAAGGAACACCAGUGGCGAAGGCGACCACCUGGACUGAUACUGACACUGAGGUGCGAAAGCGUGGGGAGCAAACAGG
RNAcentral lists this ribosomal RNA (423 nucleotides) under uncultured bacterium. Its description in RNAcentral is "partial 16S ribosomal RNA". It matches the Rfam family "Bacterial small subunit ribosomal RNA", at positions 361 to 776 of the family's 1533-position model. The record is from RNAcentral.